GUUAAGUUGCAGGGUAUAGACCCGAAACCCGGUGAUCUAGCCAUGGGCAGGUUGAAGGUUGGGUAACACUAACUGGAGGACCGAACCGACUAAUGUUGAAAAAUUAGCGGAUGACCUGUGGCUGGGGGUGAAAGGCCAAUCAAACCGGGAGAUAGCUGGUUCUCCCCGAAAGCUAUUUAGGUAGCGCCUCGUGAAUUCAUCUCCGGGGGUAGAGCACUGUUUCGGCUAGGGGGCCAUCCCGGCUUACCAACCCGAUGCAAACUGCGAAUACCGGAGAAUGUUAUCACGGGAGACACACGGCGGGUGCUAACGUCCGUCGUGAAGAGGGAAACAACCCAGACCGCCAGCUAAGGUCCCAAAGUCAUGGUUAAGUGGGAAACGAUGUGGGAAGGCCCAGACAGCCAGGAUGUUGGCUUAGAAGCAGCCAUCAUUUAAAGAAAGCGUAAUAGCUCACUGGUCGAGUCGGCCUGCGCGGAAGAUGUAACGGGGCUAAACCAU
This 498-nucleotide ribosomal RNA is filed under the name Salmonella enterica. Its description in RNAcentral is "partial 23S ribosomal RNA". It matches the Rfam family "Bacterial large subunit ribosomal RNA", at positions 694 to 1190 of the family's 2925-position model. RNAcentral also lists the same sequence under 2 other names. Lineage: Bacteria; Pseudomonadati; Pseudomonadota; Gammaproteobacteria; Enterobacterales; Enterobacteriaceae. The record is from RNAcentral.